CCUACGGGAGGCAGCAGUGGGGAAUAUUGCACAAUGGGGGGAACCCUGAUGCAGCGACGCCGCGUGAGUGAAGAAGUAUUUCGGUAUGUAAAGCUCUAUCAGCAGGAACGAGACAAGACGGUACCUGACCAAGAAGCCCCGGCUAACUACGUGCCAGCAGCCGCGGUAAUACGGAGGGGGCAAGCGUUAUCCGGAAUCACUGGGUGUAAAGGGAGCGUAGACGGCUGAGCAAGCCUGAAGUGAAAGGCGGGGGCCCAACCCCCAGACUGCUUUGGGAACUGUACGGCUGGAGUGCAGGAGAGGUAAGUGGAAUUCCUAGUGUAGCGGUGAAAUGCGUAGAUAUUAGGAGGAACACCAGUGGCGAAGGCGGCUUACUGGACUGUAACUGACGUUGAGGCUCGAAAGCGUGGGGAGCAAACAGGAUUAGAUACCCGGGUAGUC
This 441-nucleotide ribosomal RNA is filed under the name uncultured bacterium. Its description in RNAcentral is "partial 16S ribosomal RNA". It matches the Rfam family "Bacterial small subunit ribosomal RNA", at positions 338 to 795 of the family's 1533-position model. The record is from RNAcentral.